GGAGUAAAAGUCGUAACAAGGUUUCCGUAGGUGAACCUGCGGAAGGAUCAUUACUGAGUGAGGGCCCCUCGGGGUCCAACCUCCCACCCGUGUUUAACGAACCUUGUUGCUUCGGCGGGCCCGCCUCACGGCCGCCGGGGGGCAUCUGCCCCCGGGCCCGCGCCCGCCGAAGCCACCUGUGAACGCUGUCUGAAGUAUGCAGUCUGAGACAAUUAUUAAAUUAAUUAAAACUUUCAACAACGGAUCUCUUGGUUCCG
Molecule: unclassified non-coding RNA, 257 nt
Filed under: plant metagenome
Description: partial contains small subunit ribosomal RNA, internal transcribed spacer 1, and 5.8S ribosomal RNA
Rfam family: Eukaryotic small subunit ribosomal RNA (bases 1-53)
Source: RNAcentral